CACUACUCCCACUACUCCCACUACAUCCACCUACACCCACUCUUUCCACCCACUUUACACUUCACUCUCGGCUCUCACUAAAUCUCUCUCUAUACUCUCUUUUCCUCCAUUGAUGUCCAUUGAAGAAAGCUUAGAGAAGCUUCAUCAAACACUACUAUGAGAUAAUCCACCAUCCAAUCCAAUCAAAUACUAUCAUAUCUCAUCAAAUUCAAGAAGCUAGAGCUAAGAUCAAAGUUGGAGCAAAGUCUUGAUCACCUUUUAAAUCCUUGAGCUUUGUGAUGACCAGGAGGAUUAGCGCUACUUUUCCAAGACAGGUUUAUAUGUGUAUGAUCUUCAGGCUUUGCCUAUCCAGGUUGGCUGGCUGGUGCUGACGGGACGGAGCUGAGGCUAGAGUUAAAAUUCAUAUGUUAGACUUCCGCUGUAGCAAUUACUCUUAUACAUCUUUUGUUUUCUCAACUUAAGAUGACUUCAUGUCGAGCUUAAAUUUGAAAUUCUAGUUUUAUGCUAAUGAAUGUUGGUUGUCAGAAACAUGAAACAAAACUUGUGAUCCAAAGGGGCAUAGCCCGACUUUCUAUCCUAUUUUGGGUUUUAACGAGGUA
Long non-coding RNA from Salvia miltiorrhiza (redroot sage), 599 nucleotides. RefSeq lists it as uncharacterized. Lineage: Eukaryota; Viridiplantae; Streptophyta; Magnoliopsida; Lamiales; Lamiaceae. The record is from RefSeq and is a predicted model, not a curated record. The transcript has 3 exons.